RNAcentral lists this small RNA (986 nucleotides) under Pongo abelii (Sumatran orangutan). RNAcentral's name for it is "retained intron". Lineage: Eukaryota; Metazoa; Chordata; Mammalia; Primates; Hominidae. The record is from RNAcentral.
UCCCUCCCCCGGAAGUAGGGCCUGAUGUAAACACCCGAGCCGGGCUCCAAGGCCCGGGAGGUCAGAAAACCGGGCCGCGGGCGGCACCGACAGCUGGGGCCCGGGUCAGGGACACGCGGAGGUCAGGCCGGUGAAGGCGGCAGGAAGCUGGAGCACGACCCCAGGGGGAACAAUCCUGCACCAUGACUCAACAGCCACUUCGAGGAGUGACCAGCCUGCGUUUCAACCAAGACCAAAGCUGCUUUUGCUGCGCCAUGGAGACAGGUGUGCGCAUCUACAACGUGGAGCCCUUGAUGGAGAAGGGGCAUCUGGACCACGAGCAGGUGGGCAGCAUGGGCUUGGUGGAGAUGCUGCACCGCUCCAACCUUCUGGCCUUGGUGGGCGGUGGUAGUAGUCCCAAGUUCUCAGAGAUCUCAGGUAAGUGCCCUCAUCCUGCCCUUUGGCCCAGAUUUCUCGGAUUCCUGGCCUCCCACAGGCACCCCAAGGUACUGGCAGAUGAAGACGUCAGAGUACUUCAGAGUCACACAGAGAGGAGGCCUACAGCUUGGAAGUCAUGGAUCUUAUAGCUUGAGAAGCUUGGUGCUUUGUUUUCAUUUUAAAAAUGCUGAUUGAGUGCCUCCUGUGUGCCAUGCCCUAGAGCACUUACUGUGAGCCUGGGACUGCCCUAAGCACUUUACGUUUAUUAACUCAUUUAAUCCUCACAGUAACUCUAUGGGGUAGGAAGGAUCAUUAUCCCCAUCUUUACCGAUGAGGAAACUGAGGCCCAGUGCAGUUAAGUGACUCAUCCAAGGUCACACAAGCAAUAGGUUUUAAAAUCUUGGAGCCGUCUUCCCAAUACCCCCUUGGCUUGAGCCUCAAGUGCCAUCUUACUUUAAGGGUUUUUCUUGAUGAUCCCAUCUGAACAAGGCAGGAGUUGCCCUAGGUGAGUCACAGAGCCCUAGGAUUCCUCACGGAAAUCUCCAGGGUGCGUGGACUAGGACCCUGGA